This 363-nucleotide unclassified non-coding RNA is filed under the name soil metagenome. RNAcentral's name for it is "partial contains 5.8S ribosomal RNA, internal transcribed spacer 2, and large subunit ribosomal RNA". The stretch from base 1 to 121 matches the Rfam family "5.8S ribosomal RNA", at positions 35 to 154 of the family's 154-position model. The record is from RNAcentral.
GAUGAAGAACGCAGCGAAAUGCGAUAAGUAAUGCGAAUUGCAGAAUUUCCGUGAGUCAUCGAAUCUUUGAACGCACAUUGCGCCCGCCAGCAUUCUGGCGGGCAUGCCUGUCCGAGCGUCAUUUCAACCCUCAGGGUCCCUCCGCCUCGCGCGGUCGGAGCCUGGUGUUGGGGAUCGGCCCGCCCCGCGCGGCGCCGUCCCCCAAAUACAGUGGCGGUCCCGCCGCAGCCUCCCCUGCGCAGUAGUUAUCAACUCGCACUGGAGCGCGGCGCGGCCACGCCGUAAAACCCCCGACUUUUAGAAAGUUGACCUCGGAUCAGGUAGGAAUACCCGCUGAACUUAAGCAUAUCAAUAAGCGGAGGA